Molecule: ribosomal RNA, 468 nt
Filed under: uncultured bacterium
Lineage: Bacteria
Description: partial 16S ribosomal RNA
Rfam family: Bacterial small subunit ribosomal RNA
Source: RNAcentral
GACGAACGCUGGCGGCGUGCUUAACACAUGCAAGUCGAACGGCAAGGCCCUGCUUUUGUGGUGUGCUCGAGUGCCGAACGGGUGCGUAACGCGUGAGUAACCUGCCCUUGACUUUGGUAUAACUUCAGGUAACUGGGGCUAAUAUCGUAUAGGAGCUCCUGCUCCAUUGUGGGGGUUGGAAAUUUUCGGCGGUCGGGGAUGGACUCGCGGCUUAUCAGCUUGUUGGUGGGGUAGUGGCUUACCAAGGCUUUGACGGGUAGCCGGCCUGAGAGGGUGACUGGCCACAUUGGGACUGAGAUACGGCCCAGACUCCUACGGGAGGCAGCAGUGGGGAAUAUUGCACAAUGGGCGGAAGCCUGAUGCAGAAACGCCGCGUGCGGGAUGACGGCCUUCGGGUUGUAAACCGCUUUCGCCUGUGACGAAGCGUGAGUGACGGUAAUGGGUAAAGAAGCACCGGCUAACUACGUG